GGCGGCGUGCCUAAUACAUGCAAGUCGAGCGGACCGACGGGAGCUUGCUCCCUUAUGUCAGCGGCGGACGGGUGAGUAACACGUGGGUAACCUGCCUGUAAGACUGGGAUAACUCCGGGAAACCGGGGCUAAUACCGGAUGCUUGAUUGAACCGCAUGGUUCAAUUAUAAAAGGUGGCUUUUACCUACCACUUACAAAUGAACCCGCGGCGCAUUAGCUAGUUGGUGAGGUAACGGCUCACCAAGGCGACGAUGCGUAGCCGACCUGAGAGGGUGAUCGGCCACACUGGGACUGAGACACGGCCCAGACUCCUACGGGAGGCAGCAGUAGGGAAUCUUCCGCAAUGGACGAAAGUCUGACGGAGCAACGCCGCGUGAGUGAUGAAGGUUUUCGAAUCGUAAAACUCUGUUGUUAGGGAAAAACAAGAACCGUUCGAAUAGGGCGGUACCUUGACGGAACCUAACCAGAAAGCCACGGUUAACUACGUGCCAGCAGCCGCGGUAAUACGAAGGUGCCAAGCGUUGUCCGGAAUUAUUGGCCGAAAAGCGCGCGCAGGCGGUUUCUUAAGUCUAAUGUGAAACCCCCCGGUUCAACCGGGGAGGGUCAUUGGAAACUGGGGAACUUAAUGGC
RNAcentral lists this ribosomal RNA (630 nucleotides) under Bacillus sp. (in: firmicutes). RNAcentral describes it as "bacterial SSU rRNA". It matches the Rfam family "Bacterial small subunit ribosomal RNA", at positions 38 to 649 of the family's 1533-position model. Lineage: Bacteria; Bacillati; Bacillota; Bacilli; Caryophanales; Bacillaceae. The record is from RNAcentral.